This 497-nucleotide ribosomal RNA is filed under the name uncultured bacterium. RNAcentral's name for it is "partial 16S ribosomal RNA". It matches the Rfam family "Bacterial small subunit ribosomal RNA", at positions 28 to 507 of the family's 1533-position model. The record is from RNAcentral.
GAUGAACGCUGGCGGCGUGCCUAAUACAUGCAAGUCGAGCGAACGGACGAGAAGCUUGCCUUUCUGAUGUUAGCGGCGGACGGGUGAGUAACACGUGGAUAACCUACCUAUAAGACUGGGAUAACUUCGGGAAACCGGAGCUAAUACCGGAUAAUAUUUUGAACCGCAUGGUUCAAAAGUGAAAGACGGUCUUGCUGACACUAAUAGAUGGAUCCGAGCUGCAUUAGCUAGUUGGUAAGGUAACGGCUUACCAAGGCAACGAUGCAUAGCCGACCUGAGAGGGUGAUCGGCCACACUGGAACUGAGACACGGUCCAGACUCCUACGGGAGGCAGCAGUAGGGAAUCUUCCGCAAUGGGCGAAAGCCUGACGGAGCAACGCCGCGUGAGUGAUGAAGGUCUUCGGAUCGUAAAACUCUUUUAUUAGGGAAGAACAUAUGUGUAAGUAUCUGUGCACAUCUUGACGGUACCUAAUCAGAAAGCCACGGCUAACUACGUG